GACGAACGCUGGCGGCGUGCUUAACACAUGCAAGUCGAACGGAAAGGCCCGAGCUUGCUGGGGUGCUCGAGUGGCGAACGGGUGAGUAACACGUGGGUAACCUGCCCUUGACUUUGGGAUAACUUUAGGAAACUGGGGCUAAUACCGCAUAAGAGCAGCUGUUGCAUGGCAGUGGUUGGAAAGUUUCGGUGGUUGGGGUAGCACAUGGGGCUUCGUAGUUUUAUGGUGGGGUUGUGGUAUCGCAUGGCCUUGGCGGGGAGCCGGCCUGGGAGGGUGACCGGCCACAGUGGGACUGGGAUAGCAGCCAGACGGAUACGGGGGGCAGCGGCGGAAGAUAGUGCACAAUGGGCGGAAGCCUGAUAGAGCGACGCCGGGUGGGGGAGGACGGCCGUCGGGGUGUAACCCGCUUGCGACUGUGACGAAGCGUGAGUGACGGUAAUGGGUAAAGAAGCACCGGCUAACUACGUG
Molecule: ribosomal RNA, 468 nt
Filed under: uncultured bacterium
Lineage: Bacteria
Description: partial 16S ribosomal RNA
Rfam family: Bacterial small subunit ribosomal RNA
Source: RNAcentral